GCUCCAUUCGUCUAACGGUUUAGGACGGCUGCCUUUCGAGCAGUAAAUAAGGGUUCGAUUCCCUUAUGGAGUACAA
RNAcentral lists this transfer RNA (76 nucleotides) under Chryseobacterium sp. Leaf201. RNAcentral describes it as "tRNA-Glu". It matches the Rfam family "tRNA". From Rfam's summary of the family: Transfer RNA (tRNA) molecules are approximately 80 nucleotides in length. Lineage: Bacteria; Pseudomonadati; Bacteroidota; Flavobacteriia; Flavobacteriales; Weeksellaceae. The record is from RNAcentral.